CUUCUUCCCAAACACAAGCCUUGCACCCGGGGAUGCAGCAGCUGCAGUGAUGGGCACAGGCAGAACUCGGACACCCAGCCCAGCCUUACCUCAGGAAGAAAGGAGCAGCAUCAGCCACAUCCCAUCCAGACCCAUCUGCACUGCAACUGGCUGCAACCUUCCCUGAGCUCCUUUGGCAGGCCUUCAGCAAGGUCUCUCCUCACUGAAGCUCUUGAAUGUGCCAGAGAGACACUUCCCUGCACAAAGUCUGGAAAAGACAAAUUCAGCCAACAGGAAAUCUACCUUAUCAAAGCUGUGUUUCCAAUCCCACUGGGCAUUAGGACAGUUGGAUUCCAGCAAUCUCCGGGCCGGCUUUGGAAGAAAAAGCACAGAAACCCCACAGCAUUUUGGCCUCAUAAAACUUUAUUUUCAUCACUACUACAGGAACCUAAAAUGCACAUGAGAUACAUUUGGCAGAAGAAAUGUGGCUUAAUAAAUAAAUAUUUCUCUGGUUAAACAUUAUCUGGUUGAAUUGAAUCACUUCAGAUCCUACACAGCUCUUCUCAUCUGCACUAUAUACUUAACUGUUAUUAAAGCUGUCUGAAAUGCAGUGCUAGAAAUGGCAACUGCUGGGUGUGAAUUCCCUCAGCAGUAAUACUUCCAGGUCUCCAGGCAGUAACACAACAUGCCUGGGAAAGGUGCUUUUAAAAGGCCAUUUAUCUAGGGUGAGCCCUGGAGUUUUCAGAGCUGCUGAAGCAGGGAGGACACUUGUAUGCAAAUGCCAGAAGAGUGGGGAGAUCUACUUAGCAGGAGCAUGAGGAUAAAUCCACUCUCCUCUGUUCUCAGGGAAGAGGAAACAGCAAAAGCACUUAAAGCUCUUCAGUGUAAAUCAUCUGGCUAGGCAGGAGUGAACAGUAUUCAGUGUCUGCAGGGGAAGGUGCUGCCUUGUGUCCUGGGUGGUCACUGUCAGCAGCUCUGCCACUGCUUGUUCAACCCCUCGUGCUGCUGGUUCACGUUCUUUCCUGCUCUUCCUCGGGUUCCUCUUGCCUUCAUUCCCCAUGUCUGGAAGAGCAGAGGGGGAUUUAAACUCCAUUUAAUGAAAUUGGGCCUAUGAACCACAGCUGGACAGCUGUGUGCUCCCUUACCUCAGAAAAGAAACAGCUUGAUAC
This 1148-nucleotide long non-coding RNA is filed under the name Corvus moneduloides (New Caledonian crow). RNAcentral describes it as "lncRNA (ENSCMUG00000018480.1)". Lineage: Eukaryota; Metazoa; Chordata; Aves; Passeriformes; Corvidae. The record is from RNAcentral.